Molecule: RNase MRP RNA, 184 nt
Filed under: Polarella glacialis
Lineage: Eukaryota; Dinophyceae; Suessiales; Suessiaceae
Description: partial RNase MRP
Rfam family: RNase MRP
About the family: RNase MRP is an enzymatically active ribonucleoprotein with two distinct roles in eukaryotes. In mitochondria it plays a direct role in the initiation of mitochondrial DNA replication.
Source: RNAcentral
UGCUGCGGGGAAAGUCCCCGUGCCUUGGGGCAGAGAGUGUCAGCGGGAGACCGCUAGGCCCCAGCCAUGGUGCCGGCGGUGAGGCUUUGAGCGGAGCCACGGUGCCAGGCCUGGGGCCAGUCGCAGCAGCACAGGCAUGCCGUGAGCGUUCGAUGAGAUCGCCAACUGAACGGGGCUCACUCUC